ACUAUAUAUAGCGUUUGAGGUGCCUCCGAUUCGCAAGGAUUGGAAGCUAAGAGGGAAUUCGGUGACAGCGGCGCCUUAGGCGCCGAACCAUGCCGAAGCUGCCCCCGCAACUGUGAACGGUGAGUUCUUGUUCGACUAUGCCACUGAGCCCAUGCGGCUCGGGAAGGCCGGGCAAGGGCGACGACUCGUGAGCCAGGAGACCUGCCUCGAACAGAUACGUCCA
RNAcentral lists this non-coding RNA (223 nucleotides) under Pelagibacterium sp. The record is from RNAcentral. Lineage: Bacteria; Pseudomonadati; Pseudomonadota; Alphaproteobacteria; Hyphomicrobiales; Devosiaceae.